CAUGCAGUCGAACGCUUCUUUUUCCACCGGAGCUUGCUCCACCGGAAAAAGAGGAGUGGCGAACGGGUGAGUAACACGUGGGUAACCUGCCCAUCAGAAGGGGAUAACACUUGGAAACAGGUGCUAAUACCGUAUAACAAUCGAAACCGCAUGGUUUUGAUUUGAAAGGCGCUUUCGGGUGUCGCUGAUGGAUGGACCCGCGGUGCAUUAGCUAGUUGGUGAGGUAACGGCUCACCAAGGCCACGAUGCAUAGCCGACCUGAGAGGGUGAUCGGCCACAUUGGGACUGAGACACGGCCCAAACUCCUACGGGAGGCAGCAGUAGGGAAUCUUCGGCAAUGGACGAAAGUCUGACCGAGCAACGCCGCGUGAGUGAAGAAGGUUUUCGGAUCGUAAAACUCUGUUGUUAGAGAAGAACAAGGAUGAGAGUAACUGUUCAUCCCUUGACGGUAUCUAACCAGAAAGCCACGGCUAACUACGUGCCAGCAGCCGCGGUAAUACGUAGGUGGCAAGCGUUGUCCGGAUUUAUUGGGCGUAAAGCGAGCGCAGGCGGUUUCUUAAGUCUGAUGUGAAAGCCCCCGGCUCAACCGGGGAGGGUCAUUGGAAACUGGGAGACUUGAGUGCAGAAGAGGAGAGUGGAAUUCCAUGUGUAGCGGUGAAAUGCGUAGAUAUAUGGAGGAACACCAGUGGCGAAGGCGGCUCUCUGGUCUGUAACUGACGCUGAGGCUCGAAAGCGUGGGGAGCAAACAGGAUUAGAUACCCUGGUAGUCCACGCCGUAGACGAUGAGUGCUAAGUGUUGGAGGGUUUCCGCCCUUCAGUGCUGCAGCUAACGCAUUAAGCACUCCGCCUGGGGAGUACGACCGCUAGGUUGAACUCAAGAAA
This 882-nucleotide ribosomal RNA is filed under the name Enterococcus faecium. RNAcentral's name for it is "bacterial SSU rRNA". It matches the Rfam family "Bacterial small subunit ribosomal RNA", at positions 54 to 908 of the family's 1533-position model. Lineage: Bacteria; Bacillati; Bacillota; Bacilli; Lactobacillales; Enterococcaceae. The record is from RNAcentral.